Molecule: ribosomal RNA, 465 nt
Filed under: Vreelandella stevensii
Lineage: Bacteria; Pseudomonadati; Pseudomonadota; Gammaproteobacteria; Oceanospirillales; Halomonadaceae
Description: partial 16S ribosomal RNA
Rfam family: Bacterial small subunit ribosomal RNA
Source: RNAcentral
CCUACGGGAGGCUGCAGUGGGGAAUAUUGGACAAUGGGCGAAAGCCUGAUCCAGCCAUGCCGCGUGUGUGAAGAAGGCCUUCGGGUUGUAAAGCACUUUCAGUGGGGAAGAAAGCCUUGGGGCUAAUACCCUCGAGGAAGGACAUCACCCACAGAAGAAGCACCGGCUAACUCCGUGCCAGCAGCCGCGGUAAUACGGAGGGUGCGAGCGUUAAUCGGAAUUACUGGGCGUAAAGCGCGCGUAGGCGGUCUGAUAAGCCGGUUGUGAAAGCCCCGGGCUCAACCUGGGAACGGCAUCCGGAACUGUCAGACUAGAGUGCAGUAGAGGAAGGUAGAAUUCCCGGUGUAGCGGUGAAAUGCGUAGAGAUCGGGAGGAAUACCAGUGGCGAAGGCGGCCUUCUGGACUGACACUGACGCUGAGGUGCGAAAGCGUGGGUAGCAAACAGGAUUAGAUACCCCGGUAGUC